UGGGGAAUCAUGGUCAAUGGGCGAAAGCCUGAUGGAGCGACGCCGCGUGGGGGAUGAAGGGCUUCGGCCUGUAAACCCCUGUCAUUUGCGAACAAACCUUUUUACCUAACACGUAAGGAGCUGAUUGUAGUGAAAGAGGAAGGGACGGCUAACUCUGUGCCAGCAGCCGCGGUAAUACAGAGGUCCCAAGCGUUGUUCGGAUUCACUGGGCGUAAAGGGUGCGUAGGUGGUGGUGUAAGUUUGGUGUGAAAUCUCCGAGCUCAACUCGGAAACGGCACUAAAUACUAUAUUGCUGGAGGGUCGGAAGGGAGACUGGAAUUCUCGGUGUAGCAGUGAAAUGCGUAGAUAUCGAGAGGAACACCAGUGGCGAAAGCGAGUCUCUGGACGACUCCUGACACUGAGGCACGAAAGCUAGGGGAGCAAACA
This 426-nucleotide ribosomal RNA is filed under the name uncultured prokaryote. Its description in RNAcentral is "bacterial SSU rRNA". It matches the Rfam family "Bacterial small subunit ribosomal RNA", at positions 355 to 774 of the family's 1533-position model. The record is from RNAcentral.